GGAUGUGAGGGCGAUCUGGCUGCGACAUCUGUCACAUUUGGCUGAUCUGGCUGGGAGGAGGGUGUCCUCUUCCUCCCUUUCCUCCCUCACCGCUCCACGUGCGUCCUUCCCAAAGCUAGUGGGAGCUUGGGCUUGGUCAAAGAGGACGACCUUCCCUGACCUUUCCUGAAUAGAGGAGGACCCGUGUUUAGUCAAGGGUAUACAAGUAGCUGCGCUCCCCAGCUGGAACCUCCAAACAAGCUCUCAAGGUCCUAAAAAAGAAAAACAAUGAAAAAACUGCUACAAACAGCAUUCUUUCUUU
RNAcentral lists this small nuclear RNA (301 nucleotides) under Mus caroli (Ryukyu mouse). Its description in RNAcentral is "sRNA (MGP_CAROLIEiJ_G0008933.1)". It matches the Rfam family "7SK RNA". Rfam says of the family: 7SK was discovered as an abundant small nuclear RNA in the mid-70s but a possible function has only recently been suggested. Two independent studies have found that 7SK RNA binds the CDK9/cyclin T complex (known as elongation factor P-TEFb). The record is from RNAcentral. Lineage: Eukaryota; Metazoa; Chordata; Mammalia; Rodentia; Muridae.